CUAAUAAACUCGUUGAAUUUUCGUUUGCAGGAAAUACAGGAGACGCCAAACCACCUCUUUCUGUUGGAACUGCCAGAUUCAAAUUCAGCUAUGCAUUAUUGAUACUGGCCUUCUACGUUUACUUAUAUGAAAUUAUCUAUUAGAACUUGUAAAAACAACCGUCUGUGACUAUUAUAGGAACCACGGUGAAAAAUAACGAUCUUUUCAGCUAUUUCCCCUCCAUCUGGAUGUGUUUCCCAGAAAUUAAUAAUAAUUGAGUUUAACUGAGUAAAAUUCCUUAUCAAUUUCUAGUCAUAUUUGCUGCUAUAUAUUGCAACACUACGUUUAAUCACCACCUUGUACAAAGCAGUGAAGCACCGAUUCCACCUUAUCCCAACUGGUCAGCAUCAAAGAAAUUGUUCGUGGCAGUUCAACUAUGUUGGCACUGGAGACUCAGUCCUAGUGUAUACCACCUCUCAUGUCAUUCAUCUAUAUCCACAAGUGUGGACUGGGUGCACGUAGG
This 502-nucleotide long non-coding RNA is filed under the name Olea europaea subsp. europaea. The record is from RNAcentral. Lineage: Eukaryota; Viridiplantae; Streptophyta; Magnoliopsida; Lamiales; Oleaceae.